UACGUAGGGGGCAAGCGUUGUCCGGAAUCAUUGGGCGUAAAGCGCGUGUAGGCGGCUGAGUAAGUCUGCUCUGAAAGCCCGGGGCUCAACCCCGGGAGGCGGGUGGAUACUGCUCAGCUCGAGUCCGGAAGAGGAGUGUGGAAUUCCUGGUGUAGCGGUGAAAUGCGCAGAUAUCAGGAGGAACACCAAUGGCGAAGGCAGCACUCUGGGACGGUACUGACGCUGAGACGCGAAAGCGUGGGGAGCAA
RNAcentral lists this ribosomal RNA (248 nucleotides) under uncultured bacterium. Its description in RNAcentral is "partial 16S ribosomal RNA". It matches the Rfam family "Bacterial small subunit ribosomal RNA", at positions 524 to 771 of the family's 1533-position model. The record is from RNAcentral.